RNAcentral lists this ribosomal RNA (253 nucleotides) under uncultured bacterium. RNAcentral describes it as "partial 16S ribosomal RNA". It matches the Rfam family "Bacterial small subunit ribosomal RNA", at positions 524 to 776 of the family's 1533-position model. The record is from RNAcentral.
UACGUAGGGGGCAAGCGUUGUCCGGAAUCAUUGGGCGUAAAGCGCGUGUAGGCGGCUCGAUAAGUCCGUUCUGAAAGUCCAGGGCUCAACCCUGGGAUGCGGAUGGAUACUGUCGAGCUCGAGUCCGGAAGAGGCGAGUGGAAUUCCUGGUGUAGCGGUGAAAUGCGCAGAUAUCAGGAGGAACACCAAUUGCGAAGGCAGCUCGCUGGGACGUAACUGACGCUGAGACGCGAAAGCGUGGGGAGCAAACAGG